This 28-nucleotide non-coding RNA is filed under the name Mus musculus (house mouse). The record is from RNAcentral. Lineage: Eukaryota; Metazoa; Chordata; Mammalia; Rodentia; Muridae.
UAAAAAUGUUGAUGCAUCUUUAUGCCAU